CCUACGGGUGGCAGCAGUAGGGAAUAUUGCUCAAUGGGCGAAACCCUGAAGCAGCAACGCCGCGUGCAGGAUGAAGGUUUUCUGAUUUUAAACCUCUUUUGUUAGAGAAGAUAAUGACUGUAUCUUACGAAUUAGCACCGGCUAAAUCCGUACCCGCAGCCGCGGUAAUACUGAGGGCGCCAGCGUUACUCGGAAUAACUGGGGUUGAAGAGAGCGUAGGCGGGAUAGCAAGUGAGAUGGGAAAACGUAUGGCUUAACCAUAGAACUGCCUUUGAAACUGUUAUUCUCGAGUAGGAGAGAGGUAGGUGGAAUGCGUGGUGUAGGGGUAAAAUCCAUAGAGAUCAAGUGGAAUACUGAUUGCGAAGGCGGCCUACUAGCACAUAACUGACGCUGAUGCGCGAAAGCGUGGGGAGCAAACAGGAUUAGAUACCCGAGUAGUC
This 440-nucleotide ribosomal RNA is filed under the name uncultured bacterium. Its description in RNAcentral is "partial 16S ribosomal RNA". It matches the Rfam family "Bacterial small subunit ribosomal RNA", at positions 338 to 795 of the family's 1533-position model. The record is from RNAcentral.